UAACUAGCUGUUCGGGCUCAUAGAGCUUGAGUGGCGCAGCUAACGCAUUAAGUUAUCCGCCUGGGGAGUACGGUCGCAAGAUUAAAACUCAAAGGAAUUGACGGGGGCCUGCACAAGCGGUGGAGCAUGUGGUUUAAUUCGAAGCAACGCGCAGAACCUUACCAGCGUUUGACAUCCUUGUCGCGGUUUCCAGAGAUGGAUUCCUUCAGUUCGGCUGGACAAGUGACAGGUGCUGCAUGGCUGUCGUCAG
RNAcentral lists this ribosomal RNA (250 nucleotides) under uncultured bacterium. RNAcentral's name for it is "partial 16S ribosomal RNA". It matches the Rfam family "Bacterial small subunit ribosomal RNA", at positions 813 to 1058 of the family's 1533-position model. The record is from RNAcentral.